RNAcentral lists this ribosomal RNA (474 nucleotides) under Salmonella enterica subsp. enterica serovar Typhimurium var. 5-. RNAcentral describes it as "bacterial LSU rRNA". It matches the Rfam family "Bacterial large subunit ribosomal RNA", at positions 331 to 709 of the family's 2925-position model. Lineage: Bacteria; Pseudomonadati; Pseudomonadota; Gammaproteobacteria; Enterobacterales; Enterobacteriaceae. The record is from RNAcentral.
AGUGGAAGCGUCUGGAAAGGCGCGCGAUACAGGGUGACAGCCCCGUACACAAAAGCGCAUGUGCUGUGAGCUCGAUGAGUAGGGCGGGACACGUGGUAUCCUGUCUGAAUAUGGGGGGACCAUCCUCCAAGGCUAAAUACUCCUGACUGACCGAUAGUGAACCAGUACCGUGAGGGAAAGGCGAAAAGAACCCCGGCGAGGGGAGUGAAAAAGAACCUGAAACCGUGUACGUACAAGCAGUGGGAGCCCCACCACUAAGCCAGUGGUGAACUCCACAUCCGCAUCCUUUGCUGAGGAUACGGUUAACGGAGCGAAAGCGACGUUCAACCGCAAAACAAGCAGAGGGGGCUUAGUGGUGGGGUGACUGCGUACCUUUUGUAUAAUGGGUCAGCGACUUAUAUUCUGUAGCAAGGUUAACCGAAUAGGGGAGCCGGAGGGAAACCGAGUCUUAAUUGGGCGUUAAGUUGCAGGGUA